CGACUGAGUGGCGGACGGGUGAGUAACGCGUGGGUAACCUGCCUCGUACAGGGGGAUAACAGUUGGAAACGGCUGCUAAUACCGCAUAAGCGCACAGUACCGCAUGGUACGGUGUGAAAAACUCCGGUGGUAUGAGAUGGACCCGCGUCUGAUUAGGUAGUUGGUGGGGUAACGGCCUACCAAGCCGACGAUCAGUAGCCGACCUGAGAGGGUGACCGGCCACAUUGGGACUGAGACACGGCCCAA
RNAcentral lists this ribosomal RNA (246 nucleotides) under uncultured bacterium. RNAcentral describes it as "partial 16S ribosomal RNA". It matches the Rfam family "Bacterial small subunit ribosomal RNA", at positions 88 to 334 of the family's 1533-position model. The record is from RNAcentral.